GACGAACGCUGGCGGCGUGCUUAACACAUGCAAGUCGAACGGAAAGGCCCUGCUUUUGUGGGGUGCUCGAGUGGCGAACGGGUGAGUAACACGUGAGUAACCUGCCCUUGACUUUGGGAUAACUUCAGGAAACUGGGGCUAAUACCGGAUAGGAGCUCCUGCUGCAUGGUGGGGGUUGGAAAGUUUCGGCGGUUGGGGAUGGACUCGCGGCUUAUCAGCUUGUUGGUGGGGUAGUGGCUUACCAAGGCUUUGACGGGUAGCCGGCCUGAGAGGGUGACCGGCCACAUUGGUACUGAGAUACGGCCCAGACUCCUACGGGAGGCAGCAGUGGGGAAUAUUGCACAAUGGGCGGAAGCCUGAUGCAGCAACGCUGCGUGCGGGAUGACGGCCUUCGUGUUGUAAACCGCUUUCGCCUGUGACGAAGCGUGAGUGACGGUAAUGGGUAAAGAAGCACCGGCUAACUACGUG
RNAcentral lists this ribosomal RNA (468 nucleotides) under uncultured bacterium. Its description in RNAcentral is "partial 16S ribosomal RNA". It matches the Rfam family "Bacterial small subunit ribosomal RNA", at positions 28 to 507 of the family's 1533-position model. The record is from RNAcentral.